ACAAUGAAUCUCUUCAUUAACACCUUGUGUGCAAUGUUUGUUGGGAAAGUCUUUUCUUUCCCUUCAUAAAUAUCAACCUAUAUCUUUAACAACAUUCGUCUGAUAACAUAUUAUGAAUAUACUUAAUUCAAAAUA
RNAcentral lists this unclassified non-coding RNA (135 nucleotides) under uncultured Mortierella. RNAcentral describes it as "sequence contains ITS1". The record is from RNAcentral. Lineage: Eukaryota; Fungi; Mortierellomycota; Mortierellomycetes; Mortierellales; Mortierellaceae.